UUUUUAAAUUUUAUUUUAAUUCCAUUCCAUUUCCUCUUUCUUUCUUUCUUUCUUUCUUUCUUUCUUUCUUUCUUUCUUUCUUUCUUUCUUUCUUUCUUUCUUUCUUUCUUUCUUUCUUUCUUUCUCUUCUUUCCUUUCUUCCUCUUUCUCUUUCUUUCUUUCUUUUCUUUCUUUCUUUCCUUUCUUUCUUUCAUUUCUUUCUUUCUUUCUUUCCUUUCUUUUCUUUCUUUCUUUUCUUUCUUUCUUUCUUUCUUUCUUCUCUUUCCUUUCAUUCUCUCUUCUUGACUCUCUUCCCUUUCUCUCUCUCUUUCCUUUUCUUUCUUUCCUUUCCUUUUCUUUCUUUCCUUUCCUUGCGAUACUUUCCUUCCUUUCUGUCAUUUCUUUUCUUUCCUUUUCUCUUCCUCUCUCUCUUUCUUUCUUUCUUUCUUUCUUUCUUUCUUUCUUUCUUUCUUCUCUCUCUCUCUUUCUUUCUUUCUUUCUUUCUUUCUUUCUUUCUUUUCUCUUUCUUUCUUUCUUUCUUUCUUUCUUUCUUUCUUUCUUUCUUUCUUUCUUUCUUUCUUUCUUUCUUUCUUUCUUUCUUUCUUUCUUUCUUUCUUUCUUUCUUUCUUUCUUUCUUUCUUUCUUUCUUUCUUUCUUUCUUUCUUUCUUUCUUUCUUUCUUUUCCUUCCUAUUGAUUUCUAAAGACUUU
This 688-nucleotide long non-coding RNA is filed under the name Monodelphis domestica (gray short-tailed opossum). RNAcentral's name for it is "lncRNA (ENSMODG00000050210.1)". Lineage: Eukaryota; Metazoa; Chordata; Mammalia; Didelphimorphia; Didelphidae. The record is from RNAcentral.